RNAcentral lists this ribosomal RNA (345 nucleotides) under uncultured bacterium. RNAcentral describes it as "bacterial SSU rRNA". It matches the Rfam family "Bacterial small subunit ribosomal RNA", at positions 8 to 334 of the family's 1533-position model. The record is from RNAcentral.
AGAGUUUGAUUAUGGCUCAGGAUGAACGCUGGCGGCACGCCUAACACAUGCAAGUCGAACGAAGUUAUUUUGAUCGAAGUUUUCGGAUGGACAUUGAUUUAACUUAGUGGCGGACGGGUGAGUAACACGUGAGCAAUCUGCCUUUCAGAGUGGGAUACCGUUUGGAAACGAACGUUAAUACCGCAUAACGCAGCGAGGCCGCAUGACCUUGCUGCCAAAGAUUUAUCGCUGAAAGAUGAGCUCGCGUCUGAUUAGAUAGUUGGUGAGGUAACGGCUCACCAAGUCGACGAUCAGUAGCCGGACUGAGAGGUUGAACGGCCACAUUGGGACUGAGACACGGCCCAG